This 515-nucleotide ribosomal RNA is filed under the name uncultured bacterium. RNAcentral's name for it is "partial 16S ribosomal RNA". It matches the Rfam family "Bacterial small subunit ribosomal RNA", at positions 28 to 523 of the family's 1533-position model. The record is from RNAcentral.
GAUGAACGCUGGCGGCGUGCCUAAUACAUGCAAGUCGAGCGAAUGGAUUAAGAGCUUGCUCUUAUGAAGUUAGCGGCGGACGGGUGAGUAACACGUGGGUAACCUGCCCAUAAGACUGGGAUAACUCCGGGAAACCGGGGCUAAUACCGGAUAACAUUUUGAACCGCAUGGUUCGAAAUUGAACGGCGGCUUCGGCUGUCACUUAUGGAUGGAUCCGCGUAGCAUUAGCUAGUUGGUGAGGUAACGGGUCACCAAGGCAACGACGCGUAGCCGACCUGAGAGGGUGAUCGGCCACACUGGGACUGAGACACGGCCCAGACUCAUGCGGGAGGCACCAGUAGGGAAUCUUCCGCAAUGGACGAAAGUCUGACGGAGCAACGCCGCGUGAGUGAUGAAGGCUUUCGGGUCGUAAAACUCUGUUGUUAGGGAAGAACAAGUGCUAGUUGAAUAAGCUGGCACCUUGACGGUACCUAACCAGAAAGCCACGGCUAACUACGUGCCAGCCGCCGCGGUAA